GAUGAACGCUAGCGGGAGGCCUAACACAUGCAAGCCGAGCGGUAUUGUUUCUUCGGAAAUGAGAGAGCGGCGUACGGGUGCGGAACACGUGUGCAACCUGCCUUUAUCUGGGGGAUAGCCUUUCGAAAGGAAGAUUAAUACUCCAUAAUAUAUUGAACGGCAUCGUUUAAUAUUGAAAGCUCCGGCGGAUAGAGAUGGGCACGCGCAAGAUUAGCUAGUUGGUGAGGUAACGGCUCACCAAGGCGAUGAUCUUUAGGGGGCCUGAGAGGGUGAUCCCCCACACUGGUACUGAGGCACGGACCAGACUCCUACGGGAGGCAGCAGUGAGGAAUAUUGGUCAAUGGGUGCAAGCCUGAACCAGCCAUCCCGCGUGAAGGACGACUGCCCUAUGGGUUGUAAACUUCUUUUGUAUAGGGAUAAACCUACCCUCGUGAGGGUAGCUGAAGGUACUAUACGAAUAAGCACCGGCUAACUCCGUGCCAGCAGCCGCGGUAAUACGGAGGGUGCAAGCGUUAUCCGGAUUUAUUGGGUUUAAAGGGUCCGUAGGCGGACUUAUAAGUCAGUGGUGAAAGCCUGUCGCUUAACGAUAGAACUGCCAUUGAUACUGUAAGUCUUGAGUAUAUUUGAGGUAGCUGGAAUAAGUAGUGUAGCGGUGAAAUGCAUAGAUAUUACUUAGAACACCAAUUGCGAAGGCAGGUUACCAAGAUAUAACUGACGCUGAGGGACGAAAGCGUGGGGAGCGAACAGG
Molecule: ribosomal RNA, 748 nt
Filed under: uncultured Cloacibacterium sp.
Lineage: Bacteria; Pseudomonadati; Bacteroidota; Flavobacteriia; Flavobacteriales; Weeksellaceae
Description: bacterial SSU rRNA
Rfam family: Bacterial small subunit ribosomal RNA
Source: RNAcentral